UGUGGAGUAUUGUUCAACAGAAUUACAAGUCUCUCCAAUGGCUAAUUCUGGCAAAUCAUUUUGGACAAGCUUAUCAUUUCAAGAGGAGUCUUCAGGUGACAGAUUGGUAUAAACCAUUUCAGGAAUUACUUUCGGAAUUUCACUUAAUAAACGUGACUGUUCUGAUGGAGAUUCAUGCUUCUGUUUUUGGUCCAUGUAUUGAGCAAGU
This 208-nucleotide long non-coding RNA is filed under the name Trifolium pratense (red clover). RNAcentral describes it as "long non-coding RNA (TPRA_LNC014238)". The record is from RNAcentral. Lineage: Eukaryota; Viridiplantae; Streptophyta; Magnoliopsida; Fabales; Fabaceae.